GCCAAUUGUGCACCGCCCUAUGGGACUCCCAAUCACAGCCGGAUGUGAUGCAGCCUGGACUCAAACCGAAGCCUAUGCAUCCUUAGUGGAUAAUGUAUUGCCGGCUGCGUAAAAUGCAUUUGGAUGGUAAGAUAAACGACUCAUUAUUGCCAUCUGUUGGCUUUUGUUCUAUAAGUUAGCCAGCUAACUUGCCUAAGUGUUCUGAAACAACUUUUUUGUUGUUGAAAUAUAAUCAUUAAAUGGACAUGGUCUCAUUGACUCAACAACCAAAAACACAUCUAAGUUUAGCUUUCUUAAUUAACCAGAAAAUCAAUAGUAGUUUCUGGUGGUUCAUCAAAGUUAGCUGGCUAACCCAUUGAUUUAUGUCAAACCAAACAAAAGGCAUAAUUUGCGGAGCCUGAAUGACGACUGUCUCUGGUCAAAUUGAUUCCCUAGCCUCCUCCUAGCUGGCUCUGCUGGAAUGCAGCACAUAAUUAUUAUUAUCAUGAGCAGCACUGGAAUUUCACCAUGUCUCCCUUUUCUAAAUGCUUUCAGCUUUCAAAAAAAUGUGCAACGUGUCCAAGAACUUUGCUUCCAGCAAACAGAGUACGGUAACUAAAUUGGAAAGGAAUCUGCCCGGAACAGGAGUCUGAAUAUAUUUAGGGAAGAUUUCACAUAGGGACUUGGGCCUCACAAUACAAUGAGGGGGCUGUGCAAGAUCAUGAAUAUGAGUAUCGCAUGCCAAACUGUUCAGUUGUAGUUUUAGCACAAGCUAAACCCAAUAUGGAGCAAUUCACUGUAAAGGACUCAAAAUGUCAAUGUUUGAAUUGUCUGUUCCUAUCAAAUAGGAAUAGCAAUAUAUAACACAUUUUACAGUAAUACAACAUUACUGUGGUUGUGAUAUGGAUUAACCGGAAUGCUCAAUCAUUUAUCUUAAUUGUUUGUCACGGGCCCUUUGUCCAUCAAUUGCUCCUAUCUUCAGUUAAUGUUUUCACGGCUUUAAGGCCUAGAUGUGCUGAAGUCGGCAUAAGCAUACUUGAAAUAUCUGUCCUUCCUCAUCCACUGAAAGAGAUGUUUGAGAUAAGAGUAAAUUAGAUCAAAUGUUUUAAUCUAUCAUGGUGUUCUGUAAUGGGACAGCUGUGGUUAAUGAUGGGACUGGGGGGGGGCUCCCAGACUGACUGACAGACACCCCUCUGGCUGCUAAAAGCUCCAGCGCCUUGUUCCUGUUGUUGCCUUCUUUUCUCCUCCGGGUUUUAUUUUUGGCUACUGACCUUGACAGGAGCCUAUCCUUUCCUGCUUCCUCCAGCCAAACACAUCCCGUACGCCUUCCACUACAUCAGGAGUGUGCUGUUGAAAUAGUGUUGUCCUUCUCACUAGAUUGUACAUUCUCUUCGACAGGUUUCUCUUUGCUUUCUCUUCGGAGUGUUUUAACUUGUUUUGAAGCGUUAACGGAUAAGUAACUUGUGUCCUUUGCUUUGCAGGUCUUUCUUUAAGAGGAAAGGAGGGAAAAGAGCAGACUCUGUUUAAAGGAAGAGUGGUUUAAAAAGAAAAGGAUAGAACACAGACCCCUGUAAAACUCAUUGCCUUCAAUAGGCUACUGUGGCUAAACCAAUCGCAGGACAGACUCACUGUGUUUAACACUGUCUGUCUGUACACCGGAAGGGCCUUCAUGCCUACAUCAACCAUGCAGUGAGGGUGAGCUGGCAGUGUGCCCCCUCUCUCCAUGCUGGCUUUGGGCCUAGAGCAGGGAAGAGGAGAGGGGAGAGGUGGACGGAAAGUUGGAUCCCCCUCAAAAACACUCUUGUUUCAGUAAGACUUCAACUGCAAUACCUUUGCAAUCUCUUACAACAGACACUACAAACAUUUUCCAAUUAGAUAGGAUAAUCCCCAACAAUGAGGAACUGAAUGUGGGUGGUGUGCUGGAAGUUAAGUUGACCAAACACCUACCUCUGUCAGUGGAUGACCAUGGAGAGAGCCUGCCCCCAGGGAAUUUCUAUACCUCAAGGGGCUUCUGGCAGAGGCUGGAGGGAGACAAGUUGUUCUGGGAGAAGGGAAGAAAUACCUCAGCAGAGCCUCAGAGUCAUCUAUCUCCCUCACCUUUGACCAUGUCCAGCUGAACACCUGACCAGAGACAACACAUAUGAGGAUGUCAAGCCGUCUCCUACUAUGUGUCUCCCCAUUGUUCGUCCCCGACCCUGGACCAUGGCACAGAGACAAGAACCCUCUCACCCCAAAGCUUCCUCCCAAGCCUCUCACGUUGUGGGUGGAGAGGAAGGACUCACUGGCAGCGACACAAUCCUCACCUACAGAAGCCCCCCCCUAGACCUGCCUUACCCAAGCGACCCACAACCAUCCAUAAAACACACAGACUGCCUCAGUAUGUCAACAAGAUUCAUGUGAUCUUCGACACCAAACGAGGGAAGAAGAGAGUGAAGAGCCAGGGAGGUUCAGCGCGUGAGGAGACCAGUGGAACUGAAAGUGACCCAGAGGACAACACUAAAGGAGGGUCCAGGCGCUCGGCCUAUGUCCAGUCCACGCUGAAGCGGAGGCCAGUCUACAGCUCCCUGGAGAGGGACCUGAUCCAGCUCCAGCAACAGCAGCUCUUUCAGUUCUUUAAACUCCUACACCCCUGAGAUCACGCAACAGUUUCCCAACAAGUUUGAGAAGUCUUCCCGUCACUCCCGUGAAGCCGACGACCGGCUGAAGGCCAUUCCCAUGUUCUGCUUCCCAGACUCUCAGGACGGGCGGCCUUCUGGACACCUGCACAGGAGAGGAUGGCAGCCGGUGCUUUUGUUACUGUCGUAAGAUCCUGCCAAGAGGAAAGGGGAAAAGACUGCCUGAAGUUCACUGCAUUGUAAGCAGGCUGGGCUGCUUCAACCUGUUUGCUAAGAUCUUGGAGGAGGUAGAGAGGCGCAGGGAGAUCUGUCCAGCCCUGGUGUCCCCCUUCAUGCGUAGCGUCAUGGAGGCUCCUUUUCCCGCCUCUGGACGCACCAUCACACUCAGGAGCUUCCUCCCAGGCUCAGGAAAUGAGUGUGCUAUCUCGUUGUGGCCAUGCCGCGCUGGCGCUGCUCUACCCGUUCACCUGGCAGCAUACAUUUGUGCCUGUGCUGCCCGCUAGCAUGCUAGACAUCAGCUGCUCUCCCACUCCCUUCCUCAUGGGGGCGCUGGCGCCCUGCCUGCCCAAACUUCUGGAGCUGCCCAUAGAGGAGGUCAGUGACAAAGGUCACCGUCUGAUUCCCAGUGGCUAGUCACUAGAUGGCCAUGCUACAAAGGAAAACAUUUUUUAUCUUGUCAGAAUUGAUGAUCAAGUACCCGACUGACUAGUUCUUUGAUAUAGGGUUAGGGUUACAGAAUUCUGUUGCGCACAGUUGUUUACCAUACUUAAAGGUAGACUCCGCGAUAUGAUGUAGAUGCAGAAAGUAAACCGCAUAGGGGGUCAAUUUUCACAACAACUAAGAGAGAUUAAGCGCAAGGUUCAACUUCUCCGCUGUUUUGGUCCUGUGGCUACCACGCUGUUUCAGCGUGAUGUUGGCGAACCAUUGCACAUGCGCAGAUACUGUGGGUGACCUGUGUGAGAGCGAAUUGUUGCAUCUCGCUCAUCUCAAUAUCUGUGGUGCUAUUCGUGGCAAUGUCAUUUCGCUGAGUACCUGUUUAAUAAAGUAUUUUACUGCCACCUAAUGGUAGUUCUAUGAACGUCUUUACAGUAGGACUAACAAACUGCCGUAUCAAUCUGCAAACACUUACCAACAGUUAAUGGUAGAAAGUCACCGACGUCUAAUUCAAAGCCCAAUACAUUUGACCUGCGUUCAUUUUGUCAUUGAUAAUUUAAAGGUUCUGUCUCUGUUUUGCAUUCUAGGUGCUUAUUGUGGAUUUAUGUACGGACAAAUUUGUCAAACAGGUGUGUAUUUAAUUGCAACUCAUGAAAGAUAGGUGUGGUUCCAAAACGCAACUGAAUAGGGUAUGAGGAACACUUUGUCUGUGCAUGUCUGCGUUCCAAGUGACAGUGUUGAAUAUUAAUGCAACUUGAUGAUUUCACACAUACCAGAGCUUGACUGUAAUCCAAGUUCAUAUAGUGAGACUAUUUAAUAGUAGUAGCUAUGGAGUUUCGCUUCUUUCUUACUCCGAGAUCCUAUUGGGCUGCUGAUAUUGUUGGCUAGUUUCGACAACAACCAUUUUUAUUGCAUAGGCCAGGAAUGUUCAACUUUGAUGGGGGUGGAGGCCACAAAAAAAUUGGAACUCAUCAUGGGGUGCUGCAGUGGCACGCAGGUCUGCAAACCCACAUAUGCAGUCAGAG
Molecule: long non-coding RNA, 4273 nt
Organism: Oncorhynchus kisutch (coho salmon)
Lineage: Eukaryota; Metazoa; Chordata; Actinopteri; Salmoniformes; Salmonidae
Exons: 10
Source: RefSeq, a predicted model, not a curated record